RNAcentral lists this ribosomal RNA (403 nucleotides) under uncultured bacterium. Its description in RNAcentral is "partial 16S ribosomal RNA". It matches the Rfam family "Bacterial small subunit ribosomal RNA", at positions 28 to 526 of the family's 1533-position model. The record is from RNAcentral.
GACGAACGCUGGCGGCGUGCCUAAUACAUGCAAGUCGAACGCAGUGGGGACGGGCGAGUAACACGCGGGUAACCUCCCAUCAGAGGGGAUAACACUUGGAAACAGGCGCUAAACCGACACUGAUGGAUGGAUCCGCGGUGCAUUAGCUAGUGGGUGAGGUAACGGCGAACCAAGGCCACGAUGCAUACCGGACCGGAGAGGGUGAUCGGCCACGCUGGUGCUGAAACUCGAGCCAGACUCCUACGGGCGGCAGAAGUGGGGAAUCUUCGGCAAGGGACGAAAGCCUGACCGGGCCACGCCGCGUAUGUGAAGAAGGUUUUGGGAUCGUAAAGCUCUGUUGUUAGAGAAGCGGUAUCAACCCAGAAAGCAACGGCUAACUACGUGCCAGCAGCCGCGGUAAUAC